RNAcentral lists this ribosomal RNA (316 nucleotides) under uncultured eukaryote. RNAcentral describes it as "partial 18S ribosomal RNA". It matches the Rfam family "Eukaryotic small subunit ribosomal RNA", at positions 1470 to 1796 of the family's 1831-position model. The record is from RNAcentral.
CCCUUAGAUGUUCUGGGCCGCACGCGCGCUACACUGAUACGUUCAACAAGUUCCUUGGCCGAAAGGUCUGGGUAAUCUUUGAAACCGUAUCGUGAUGGGGAUAGAACAUUGCAAUUAUUGUUCUUCAACGAGGAAUGCCUAGUAAGCGCGAGUCAUCAACUCGCGUUGAUUACGUCCCUGCCCUUUGUACACACCGCCCGUCGCACCUACCGAUUGAAUGGUCCGGUGAAAUCUCGGGACGGCGGCUUGGUCGCUUGCGUCCGACUGCUGAAACUUGAUUAAACCAUAUCAUUUAGAGGAAGGUGAAGUCGUAACA